This 24-nucleotide non-coding RNA is filed under the name Arabidopsis thaliana (thale cress). Lineage: Eukaryota; Viridiplantae; Streptophyta; Magnoliopsida; Brassicales; Brassicaceae. The record is from RNAcentral.
AUAAAUCUCACGUAAAUUCCAAAA